GGGGAAUAUUGCACAAUGGGGGAAACCCUGAUGCAGCGACGCCGCGUGAAGGAUGAAGUAUUUCGGUAUGUAAACUUCUAUCAGCAGGGAAGAAAAUGACGGUACCUGACUAAGAAGCCCCGGCUAACUACGUGCCAGCAGCCGCGGUAAUACGUAGGGGGCAAGCGUUAUCCGGAUUUACUGGGUGUAAAGGGAGCGUAGACGGUUAUGUAAGUCUGAUGUGAAAACCCGGGGCUCAACCCCGGGACUGCAUUGGAAACUAUGUAACUAGAGUGUCGGAGAGGUAAGUGGAAUUCCUAGUGUAGCGGUGAAAUGCGUAGAUAUUAGGAGGAACACCAGUGGCGAAGGCGGCUUACUGGACGAUCACUGACGUUGAGGCUCGAAAGCGUGGGGAGCAAACA
Molecule: ribosomal RNA, 401 nt
Filed under: uncultured Lachnospiraceae bacterium
Lineage: Bacteria; Bacillati; Bacillota; Clostridia; Lachnospirales; Lachnospiraceae
Description: bacterial SSU rRNA
Rfam family: Bacterial small subunit ribosomal RNA
Source: RNAcentral